CAUUUCCACUGUGGCGUUCGAAAAGUAUUGACGUAAAUUAUUAUCAGCUCUGUAAUAAUUCAAAAUGUCUUUCAAAAUAACCAAAAAGAUUAAGAAAUUCUUGCCUCGAGUAAUACAUCCAAAAGCCGUAAAACAAGAUGCUCAAUUUAUCAGCAUUAUUGGUACCUGUGCGAUUGUUUGCCUGCUAGUAUUGCCGUUCUUUUUAAAGAGCCAUACGACAGUUCUGGCUAAAACGCAUUACAAACAAAUAACUAUUGCAGCUUGUACUACAUAAAUCACGCUACAUCACACAAAAGAAAAAUUAUUUGGUCCAUUAUCAGUGAACCCGUCAAAAUUAGUUGGCUUUAGGAUACCGAAGACUGCGCAGUCAUCGAGUGAAAAAUCAGAGUGCGAAUUUAAUACAAAUGUAUUCAGAAAACCGUGUGAUUUAUGUUGUUAUUAAAUGUUAUUCAAUUUUA
Long non-coding RNA from Zophobas morio, 458 nucleotides. RefSeq lists it as uncharacterized. The record is from RefSeq and is a predicted model, not a curated record. The transcript has 2 exons. NCBI's taxonomy places the organism in Eukaryota, Metazoa, Arthropoda, Insecta, Coleoptera, Tenebrionidae.